AUUAUAACCUGUAAUAACAAGAUUAUGAAUUCCCCAUUUUUUUCCCUUCCCAAUUUUAAAUAUUUUUUUAUAAGAAAAAUAUACAAUUUCAUCAACUAUAAAGGAACAAAACAUUUAUUUUAAAUAAGAAAAGAGAAUUGAUCAAGACAAACUUGACGGUCGUUAUUUCAAACACUGACGGAGCAAUCCCGGGCUAGUUGAUACUUAACGGCGUUAUUUCCAACCAUAACCCCUCCGUAACCGGGCCGAUCACCAAGUGGCACGUAAGCAGAGCACGUGACAUGCAGAUGGUAAUGGCCCGUUGUUAUGGACCCCACUUUCCAUUUUACCCGUCCAUCAAUCUUAAAAUCCAACCAAACGCCACCGUUUUGUUGAUCCUCUGACAGGCCCGGCCCGUUAUACGGAGCGAUCGGGAUGUUAUUCCCAUAAACAAACGGGGACCAUAUGUUAACAUCCUUAUGGCCUUGAUACACCUGGGGUAUUUGCGUGUAAUACGUGAUUUGUUGAUUAUGAUACGUAGCGUAUACAUGCAUGCUAUCAUAAUAAAUUCCGAUUUUGCUAUUAGGGUUUCGAGCGUAUAUUGUGGUUUGGAUAGAGGUCGAGAAGAUGUUUGGGGCGGAUACGUUGAAGGUAAAGAUAGUUGUGUCUUGGAGAAUGAAACGAGGUUUUUUGGGGUGAAGUACGGCCCAUACUAUGAGGAUAGUGAGAAGAGCUAAGAAGAGGAAGAUAAGAACUCCAGCACAAAUACGUCGAAUUAGCUUUUUCUUCUUGCUCUUGUGGUGGCUACACUUUUUAUCCGACAUGUCGGUGAUGGUGGUGGUGAUAGUUGUGAUGGUCGAGGGAGGAGAGAAAAAAAAGUUGUUUGUGUAGGAGAGAAUGCGUGGACUCAUAAGUAGUCUCAUCAGACUGUCAAAACAGAGAGUUGACAUUGAGAAGUCAAGACACAGAACAAUUGUCACCUCAGAUGUUCGUGAAGAAAUCAUGUCAAUCAAUCGAAAAGCCCGGGAAGAAUGGGAAAGGAAACAAGCUGAUGUGGAGAAACUCCAAAAGGCAAAUGAACCUGAAGGUAGUACUGGAGUUGACGGUGAUAAGGAGAAGGAUGAGGGUCGCGGGAAAUCAAUAAAGGUAAACAAGGAAGAAGAUGAUAAGAUGCGAACUACAGCUGCAA
RNAcentral lists this unclassified non-coding RNA (1168 nucleotides) under Hevea brasiliensis (rubber tree). Lineage: Eukaryota; Viridiplantae; Streptophyta; Magnoliopsida; Malpighiales; Euphorbiaceae. The record is from RNAcentral.